This 914-nucleotide ribosomal RNA is filed under the name uncultured bacterium. RNAcentral describes it as "bacterial SSU rRNA". It matches the Rfam family "Bacterial small subunit ribosomal RNA", at positions 60 to 935 of the family's 1533-position model. The record is from RNAcentral.
AGUCGUACGAACCGUUUGGUGCUCGCAUUGGACGGUUAGUGGCGUAAGGGUGAGUAAUGCAUGGGUAACGUACCCCGGACUCGAGGAUAACAGCGGGAGCAAUCCCUUUAGCGAAAGUGCUGCUAAUACUCGAUGAUGUCACCGGAUCGCAUGGUCUGGUGACCGAAGGUGGGGACCUUCGGGCCUGCCGGUCUGGGAGCGACCCAUGUCCUAUCAGCUUGUUGGUAGGGUAACGGCCUACCAAGGCAGCGACGGGUAGCGGGACUGAGAGGUUGGCCCGCCACAUCGGGACUGAGACACUGCCCGGACACCUACGGGUGGCUGCAGUAACGAAUAUUGGGCAAUGGGCGCAAGCCUGACCCAGCAAUGCCGCGUGCAGGAGGAAGCCCUUCGGGGUGUAAACUGCUGUCAGGGGUUAGCAAGCAAAGGGUGUAAACAGCACCCGGCGUCGAGCAGCCCCAGAGGAAGCCUCGACUAACUCUGUGCCAGCGGUCGCGGUAAUACAGAGGAGGCAAGCGUUGUUCGGAAUCACUGGGCUUAAAGCGGGUGUAGGCGGCUUGGCAAGUGUUGUGUGAAAUCCCACGGCUCAACCGUGGAACUGCACGGCAAACUGCCCGGCUUGAGGUCGGUAGAGGUGCCUGGAACUCUUGGUGGAGCGGUGAAAUGCGUAGAUAUCAAGAGGAACGCCGGAGGCGAAAGCGGGGCACUGGGCCGAUUCUGACGCUGAGACCCGAAAGCGUGGGGAGCAAACAGGAUUAGAUACCCUGGUAGUCCACGCCGUAAACGAUGCACACUAGACGUCGAAGUUUCUGACAACAGCGGCGUCGAAGCAAAAGUUCUAAGUGUGCCGCCUGGGGAGUACGGCCGCAAGGCUAAAACUCAAAGGAAUUGACGGGGGCUCACACAAGCGGUGG